GAUGAACGCUGGCGGCGUGCCUAGUACAUGCCAGUCGAGCGAACAGAUAAGGAGCUUGCUCCUUUGACGUUAGCGGCGGACGGGUGAGUAACACGUGGGUAACCUACCUAUAAGACUGGAAUAACUCCGGGAAACCGGGGCUAAUGCCGGAUAACAUUUAGAACCGCAUGGUUCUAAAGUGAAAGAUGGUUUUGCUAUCACUUAUAGAUGGACCCGCGCCGUAUUAGCUAGUUGGUAAGGUAACGGCUUACCAAGGCAACGAUACGUAGCCGACCUGAGAGGGUGAUCGGCCACACUGGAACUGAGACACGGUCCAGACUCCUACGGGAGGCAGCAGUAGGGAAUCUUCCGCAAUGGGCGAAAGCCUGACGGAGCAACGCCGCGUGAGUGAUGAAGGUCUUCGGAUCGUAAAACUCUGUUAUUAGGGAAGAACAAAUGUGUAAGUAACUGUGCACGUCUUGACGGUACCUAAUCAGAAAGCCACGGCUAGCUACGUG
RNAcentral lists this ribosomal RNA (497 nucleotides) under uncultured bacterium. RNAcentral's name for it is "partial 16S ribosomal RNA". It matches the Rfam family "Bacterial small subunit ribosomal RNA", at positions 28 to 507 of the family's 1533-position model. The record is from RNAcentral.